This 379-nucleotide ribosomal RNA is filed under the name uncultured cyanobacterium. RNAcentral describes it as "bacterial SSU rRNA". It matches the Rfam family "Bacterial small subunit ribosomal RNA", at positions 376 to 770 of the family's 1533-position model. The record is from RNAcentral. Lineage: Bacteria; Bacillati; Cyanobacteriota.
CGAAAGCCUGACGGAGCAACGCCGCGUGUGGGAAGAAGGCCUUUGGGCUGUCAACCACUUUUCUCAGGGAAGAAGCUCUGACGGUACCUGAGGAAUCAGCCUCGGCUAACUCCGUGCCAGCAGCCGCGGUAAUACGGAGGAGGCAAGCGUUAUCCGGAAUUAUUGGGCGUAAAGCGUCCGCAGGGGCGCAUCGAGUCUGCUGUCAAAGACCGAGGCUCAACCUCGGGUCGGCAGUGGAAACUGGAUAGCUAGAGGUCGGUAGGGGCAAAGGGAAUUCCCAGUGUAGCGGUGAAAUGCGUAGAUAUUGGGAAGAACACCGGUGGCGAAAGCGCUCUACUGGGUCGCGCCUGACCCUCAGGGAACGAAAGCUAAGGUAGCG